AAGUCGUAACAAGGUCUCCGUUGGUGAACCAGCGGAGGGAUCAUUACCGAGUUUACAACUCCCAAACCCAAUGUGAACGUUACCAAACUGUUGCCUCGGCGGGAUUCUCAAGCCCCGGGUGCGUCGCAGCCCCGGACCAAGGCGCCCGCCGGAGGACCAACCAAAACUCUUUUUGUAUACCCCCUCGCGGGUUUUUUAUAAUCUGAGCCUUCUCGGCGCCUCUCGUAGGCGUUUCGAAAAUGAAUCAAAACUUUCAACAACGGAUCUCUUGGUUCUGGCAUCGAUGAAGAACGCAGCGAAAUGCGAUAAGUAAUGUGAAUUGCAGAAUUCAGUGAAUCAUCGAAUCUUUGAACGCACAUUGCGCCCGCCAGUAUUCUGGCGGGCAUGCCUGUCCGAGCGUCAUUUCAACCCUCGAACCCCUCCGGGGGGUCGGCGUUGGGGAUCGGCCUCCCUCUGCGGGGGCCGUCUCCGAAAUACAGUGGCGGUCUCGCCGCAGCCUCUCCUGCGCAGUAGUUUGCACACUCGCAUCGGGAGCGCGGCGCGUCCACAGCCGUUAAACACCCAAACUUUCUGAAAUGUUGACCUCGGAUCAGGUAGGAAUACCCGCUGAACUUAAGCAUAUCAAUAAGCGGAGGAAAAGAAACCAACAGGGAUUGCCCCAGUAACGGCGAGUGAAGCGGCAACAGCUCAAAUUUGAAAUCUGGCCCCUAGGGUCCGAGUUGUAAUUUGUAGAGGAUGCUUUUGGUGAGGUGCCGCCCGAGUUCCCUGGAACGGGACGCCACAGAGGGUGAGAGCCCCGUCUGGCUGGCCGCCGAGCCUCUGUAAAGCUCCUUCGACGAGUCGAGUAGUUUGGGAAUGCUGCUCAAAAUGGGAGGUAUAUGUCUUCUAAAGCUAAAUAUUGGCCAGAGACCGAUAGCGCACAAGUGGAGUGAUCGAAAGAUGAAAAGCACCUUGAAAAGAGGGUUAAAUAGUACGUGAAAUUGUUGAAAGGGAAGCGCUUGUGACCAGACUUGGGCGCGGCGGAUCAUCCGGGGUUCUCUCCGGUGCACUUCGCCGCGUCUAGGCCAGCAUCAGUUCGUCGCGGGGGAAAAAGGCUUCGGGAACGUGGCUGCUCCGGCAGUGUUAUAGCCCGUUGCAUAAUACCCUGCGGUGGACUGAGGACCGCGCAUCUGCAAGGAUGCUGGCGUAAUGGUCACCAGCGACC
This 1204-nucleotide ribosomal RNA is filed under the name uncultured Trichoderma. RNAcentral's name for it is "eukaryotic LSU rRNA". The stretch from base 580 to 1204 matches the Rfam family "Eukaryotic large subunit ribosomal RNA", at positions 1 to 649 of the family's 3401-position model. The record is from RNAcentral. Lineage: Eukaryota; Fungi; Ascomycota; Sordariomycetes; Hypocreales; Hypocreaceae.